UUUAUACCAUUGGGUCAGGAUUGUCAGGCCUAGUUCUGAUUAACUAAAAUCCAUACGCCAGUACGAUAUAAAUGGUCGCACCCUACCUUUCUUUCUUCUUUCUUUCUUUCACUAUCCGCCGUCAUUAGGGUUUUACUCAACGCCUUCAAAAGUGGUCAAAUUCAUGGUAAACGGCAAAAAGUUACCGAUCCUACUAAAAAUGAAGCGACUCUAUGGGCAUGCCGGAUGAGGUGAAUGCCAAUGUCUUUGGUGGAUUUGUAGGGGGCAGAACUCACAAGGGCAAGAGAAAAGCCAUAUGGUGUAGAAAACUGUUGGUUCAUUGAAACUUAGUAAGGAAAAUAUGUAAAACUGGUUUUUUAUGUAUUAGUUUUGUCGAAGCAACUUAAAUAUUGAAACUUGCUAUUAAGUAAGUUCUUGUGUCUUGUAAUUCACCUCAUUGCAAGUGUACAUAUGAUGUUUUUAGUUUUGAGGA
Long non-coding RNA from Helianthus annuus (common sunflower), 472 nucleotides. RefSeq lists it as uncharacterized. NCBI's taxonomy places the organism in Eukaryota, Viridiplantae, Streptophyta, Magnoliopsida, Asterales, Asteraceae. The record is from RefSeq and is a predicted model, not a curated record. The transcript has 2 exons.